This 67-nucleotide transfer RNA is filed under the name Ogmocotyle sikae. Its description in RNAcentral is "tRNA-His". Lineage: Eukaryota; Metazoa; Platyhelminthes; Trematoda; Plagiorchiida; Notocotylidae. The record is from RNAcentral.
UUCUUCUGUAGGUUAAAUAAACUGUUAGCUUGUGGUGCUGGAGAUUAUAUGGUAUGUGCGGAGGAAG